AUCAUGUCCGUGGACUAUCCAAGAGAUUGAAUUGACGGACCAUGAUCAAUACCCCAGGACCCUUUGGUCCUGGGGUAUUGUUUUUACGA
This 89-nucleotide small RNA is filed under the name Paenibacillus sp. P22. Its description in RNAcentral is "ctRNA". Lineage: Bacteria; Bacillati; Bacillota; Bacilli; Caryophanales; Paenibacillaceae. The record is from RNAcentral.